GAUGAACGCUGGCGGCGUGCCUAAUACAUGCAAGUCGAGCGAACAGACGAGGAGCUUGCUCCUUUGGCGUUAGCGGCGGACGGGUGAGUAACACGUGGGUAACCUACCUAUAAGACUGGGAUAACUUCGGGAAACCGGGGCUAAUACCGGAUAAUAUUUCGAACCGCAUGGUUCGAUAGUGAAAGAUGGCUUUGCUAUCACUUAUAGAUGGACCUGCGCCGUAUUAGCUAGUUGGUAAGGUAACGGCUUACCAAGGCAACGAUACGUAGCCGACCUGAGAGGGUGAUCGGCCACACUGGAACUGAGACACGGUCCAAACUCCUACGGGAGGCAGCAGUAGGGAAUCUUCCGCAAUGGGCGAAAGCCUGACGGAGCAACGCCGCGUGAGUGAUGAAGGUCUUCGGAUCGUAAAACUCUGUUAUUAGGGAAGAACAAACGUGUAAGUAACUGUGCACGUCUUGACGGUACCUAAUCAGAAAGCCACGGCUAACUACGUGCCAGCAGCCGCGGUAAUACGUAGGUGGCAAGCGUUAUCCGGAAUUAUUGGGCGUAAAGCGCGCGUAGGCGGUUUUUUAAGUCUGAUGUGAAAGCCCACGGCUCAACCGUGGAGGGUCAUUGGAAACUGGAAAACUUGAGUGCAGAAGAGGAAAGUGGAAUUCCAUGUGUAGCGGUGAAAUGCGCAGAGAUAUGGAGGAACACCAGUGGCGAAGGCGACUUUCUGGUCUGUAACUGACGCUGAUGUGCGAAAGCGUGGGGAUCAAACAGGAUUAGAUACCUUGGUAGUCCACGCCGUAAACGAUGAGUGCUAAGUGUUAGGGGGUUUCCGCCCCUUAGUGCUGCAGCUAACGCAUUAAGCACUCCGCCUGGGGAGUACGACCGCAAGGUUGGAACUCAAAGGAAUUGACGGGGACCCGCACAAGCGGUGGAGCAUGUGGUUUAAUUCGAAGCAACGCGAAGAACCUUACCAAAUCUUGACAUCCUUUGACCCUUCUAGAGAUAGAAGUUUCCCCUUCGGGGGACAAAGUGACAGGUGGUGCAUGGUUGUCGUCAGCUCGUGUCGUGAGAUGUUGGGUUAAGUCCCGCAACGAGCGCAACCCUUAAGCUUAGUUGCCAUCAUUAAGUUGGGCACCCUAAGUUGACUGCCGGUGACAAACCGGAGGAAGGUGGGGAUGACGUCAAAUCAUCAUGCCCCUUAUGAUUUGGGCUACACACGUGCUACAAUGGACAAUACAAAGGGCAGCGAAACCGCGAGGUCAAGCAAAUCCCAUAAAGUUGUUCUCAGUUCGGAUUGUAGUCUGCAACUCGACUACAUGAAGCUGGAAUCGCUAGUAAUCGUAGAUCAGCAUGCUACGGUGAAUACGUUCCCGGGUCU
This 1372-nucleotide ribosomal RNA is filed under the name uncultured bacterium. RNAcentral describes it as "bacterial SSU rRNA". It matches the Rfam family "Bacterial small subunit ribosomal RNA", at positions 28 to 1381 of the family's 1533-position model. The record is from RNAcentral.